UUAAGCAUAUCAAUAAGCGGAGGAAAAGAAACCAACAGGGAUUGCCCCAGUAACGGCGAGUGAAGCGGCAACAGCUCAAAUUUGAAAUCUGGCCCCCCGCGGGCCCGAGUUGUACUUUGGAGAGGACGCUUCUGGCGCGGCGCCGUCCGAGUUCCCUGGAACGGGACGCCGGAGAGGGUGAGAGCCCCGUACGGGCGGCCGCCUAGCCUCUGCGAAGCUCCUUCGACGAGUCGAGUAGUUUGGGAAUGCUGCUCAAAAUGGGAGGUAAAUUUCUUCUAAAGCUAAAUACCGGCCAGAGACCGAUAGCGCACAAGUAGAGUGAUCGAAAGAUGAAAAGCACUUUGAAAAGAGGGUCAAACAGUACGUGAAAUUGUUGAAAGGGAAGCGCCUGUGGCCAGACUUGCGCCCCGCGGACCACCCGGCGCCUCGCGCGCCGGGGCACGCCAGCGGGGCGCAGGCCAGCAUCGGCUCUCUCGGGGGGACAAAGGCCGCGGGAACGUAGCGCCCUCGCGGCGUGUUAUAGCCCGCGGCGCCAUGCCCCCGGGGGGGCCGAGGACCGCGCUCCGGCAAGGAUGCUGGCGUAAUGGCCACCGGCGACCCGUCUUGAAACACGGACCAAGGAGUCAAGCAUUGGGGCGAGUGUCUGGGUGGCAAGCCCGCACGCGGAAUGAAAGUGAACGCAGGUGGGAGCUUCGGCGCACCACCGACCGAUCCUGAUGUCCUCGGAUGGAUUUGAGUAGGAGCCCCGCCGCUUGGACCCGAAAGAUGGUGAACUAUGCCUGUAUAGGGUGAAGCCAGAGGAAACUCUGGUGGAGGCCCGCAGCGGUUCUGACGUGCAAAUCGAUCGUCAAAUAUGGGCAUGGGGGCGAAAGACUAAUCGAACCAUCUAGUAGCUGGUUACCGCCGAAGUU
Molecule: ribosomal RNA, 911 nt
Filed under: Harringtonia lauricola
Lineage: Eukaryota; Fungi; Ascomycota; Sordariomycetes; Ophiostomatales; Ophiostomataceae
Description: LSU rRNA
Rfam family: Eukaryotic large subunit ribosomal RNA
Source: RNAcentral